This 620-nucleotide ribosomal RNA is filed under the name Pseudomonas protegens. RNAcentral's name for it is "bacterial SSU rRNA". It matches the Rfam family "Bacterial small subunit ribosomal RNA", at positions 99 to 715 of the family's 1533-position model. The record is from RNAcentral. Lineage: Bacteria; Pseudomonadati; Pseudomonadota; Gammaproteobacteria; Pseudomonadales; Pseudomonadaceae.
CGGACGGGUGAGUAAUGCCUAGGAAUCUGCCUAGUAGUGGGGGAUAACGUCCGGAAACGGGCGCUAAUACCGCAUACGUCCUACGGGAGAAAGUGGGGGAUCUUCGGACCUCACGCUAUUAGAUGAGCCUAGGUCGGAUUAGCUAGUUGGUGAGGUAAUGGCUCACCAAGGCGACGAUCCGUAACUGGUCUGAGAGGAUGAUCAGUCACACUGGAACUGAGACACGGUCCAGACUCCUACGGGAGGCAGCAGUGGGGAAUAUUGGACAAUGGGCGAAAGCCUGAUCCAGCCAUGCCGCGUGUGUGAAGAAGGUCUUCGGAUUGUAAAGCACUUUAAGUUGGGAGGAAGGGCAGUUACCUAAUACGUGAUUGUUUUGACGUUACCGACAGAAUAAGCACCGGCUAACUCUGUGCCAGCAGCCGCGGUAAUACAGAGGGUGCAAGCGUUAAUCGGAAUUACUGGGCGUAAAGCGCGCGUAGGUGGUUUGUUAAGUUGGAUGUGAAAGCCCCGGGCUCAACCUGGGAACUGCAUCCAAAACUGGCAAGCUAGAGUAUGGUAGAGGGUGGUGGAAUUUCCUGUGUAGCGGUGAAAUGCGUAGAUAUAGGAAGGAACACCAGUGG